RNAcentral lists this unclassified non-coding RNA (801 nucleotides) under Leishmania donovani. RNAcentral describes it as "gene:unknown". Lineage: Eukaryota; Euglenozoa; Kinetoplastea; Trypanosomatida; Trypanosomatidae. The record is from RNAcentral.
GCCCUCACUCACGCAAACGCAUACACACUAUUCCUCAGAACCCAUUCUUACUCGCAGCUUGUGGACACGGAGGCGGAAGGCGGUGCUGUGCGAGCUGCUGAUACUGGAUAGGAUCCGUCACUCUCUCCCUCUGUUCAUUGUUGUUCUAAGCUUGCCUGCUGUCUUUGUCUUUCAUUUGGACACCACCGGCGCUUAACUGGCUCCACUCGUUGCACAUAUUGCGACAUGUAAGCACACACAUGUAUACCGCGCCGCUGGCUGGGUGACGGAGGCGCCGCACACUCGCACAGGGGCGACAGCGGGCCUCUCCAGGUGCCAGUAUGACGGUCACUGCUAUCGCGAAACCCUCGACACGUCCAAGAAUACACCCAUCCCGAAUAGCACCCAACGUAUCCCGCGCCUCAGUGGACGCGGUGAGAUCUGGGCAUUCGCGGUUGCCGGCGCCUCUGAGCAUACCGCGCGACUCAGCCGCAUCUUUCAUGACUGUUGUCACGGUUGCGCACUCGUUGUAGCACGCGAUUUCCAUCUCGUCAUCCUCGUCGACGCGCUGUCUGCUCUCUCUGCCCACUCUUUCGCUAUGCGCAUCUCUAUCUCGUGCCUCGGGUACGUCAUCCGCUCUCCUUAUCUCUCUCUAUCUGUCCUUCCAAUCCUCUGGCUCUCGCCCCACGAUCCCACCCCUCGUGAUGCACUGGACCACGCGGCACCACCUGCUCGCAACAACAACGGCACACGAAACACAAACACAUCCACGCCGAACUUAUGGGCAUAAACCCCUGGCGCACACUCGUGCCACUCGCGCAG